This 619-nucleotide long non-coding RNA is filed under the name Phaseolus vulgaris (common bean). RNAcentral describes it as "long non-coding RNA (PVUL_LNC002018)". The record is from RNAcentral. Lineage: Eukaryota; Viridiplantae; Streptophyta; Magnoliopsida; Fabales; Fabaceae.
UGACCUAGAGGUCAUUGAACCCAUCAAGUACAAUGACGGACUUGAUCAUUUUCGACUGUCCCCUGCAGAACUUCGUUCGGAGUUCACAAGGCGCAAUGCUGAUGCUGUAUUUGCCUUCCAGCUCCGGAAUCCUGUUCACAAUGGCCAUGCUUUGCUAAUGACCGACACCCGAAGGCGGCUUCUUGAGAUGGGCUAUAAGAAUCCUGUUCUCUUGCUUCAUCCACUUGGUGGCUAUACCAAAGCUGAUGAUGUCCCACUUGAUUGGAGAAUGAAACAACAUGAAAAGGUGUGUUUACGUCUCCCUCCUAACUAGUGUGGCUUUAUUGUCUUCCUAAUUAGCAUUGUUUUUUCAACAGAAAAACUCACUUGUAUCAAUUUGUUCUUUCUUUAGGUUCUCGAGGAUGGUGUUCUUGAUCCAGAGACAACUGUGGUAUCCAUAUUCCCUUCUCCCAUGCACUAUGCUGGACCCACAGAGGUGCAGUGGCAUGCAAAGGCUAGGAUAAAUGCAGGGGCUAACUUCUACAUCGUUGGUCGUGACCCUGCAGGCAUGAGCCAUCCAGUUGAGAAAAGAGAUCUGUAUGACGCUGAUCAUGGGAAGAAAGUCUUGAGCAUGGCACCA